Molecule: ribosomal RNA, 904 nt
Filed under: Foraminifera sp.
Lineage: Eukaryota; Foraminifera
Description: SSU rRNA
Rfam family: Eukaryotic small subunit ribosomal RNA
Source: RNAcentral
AAGGGCACCACAAGAACGCGUGGAGCAUGUGGCUUAAUUUGACUCAACGCGGGAAAACUUACCGGGUCCGGACACACUGAGGAUUGACAGGCGACUACAAAUAUGCUAGUCCUUUCAUGAUUGUGUGAUAGGUGGUGCAUGGCCGUUCUUAGUUCGUGGAGUGAUCUGUCUGCUUAAUUGCGUUUCAGAUAUAUGGGUUGUUAUCACGUACGCCUUGUUUUUAAACUGCGUCGGCUUCGCGGCUGCGCGGUUUGCAAUGGCCGAGUGGACACCCUUUGAAAGCAACGAACGUGACCGCAACCCUUUGUUAUCUCACAAAUUCAAUGGUGAGACCAACUAAGGGGACCGCCAGGGUUGUUAAACCGGAGGAAGGUUGCGGCAAUAACAGGUCUGUGAUGCCCUUAGAUGUUCCGGGCUGCACACGUGCUACAAUGAUUGUUGCAGAAAGCAUCUCACAUUGAUUUGUCCUUCGGAAGGCAGCGAUGCUGGAAGAGGACCACGCGUUCACGACUUAGGUUGGCUAUUUGCCUUCUUAGUCUAUGGCGCGUGCAACCUACCUCGAAAGUACGGUAGGCAAUCAAUUCCAAGUGACAAUCUCCCGCGCACAAAACCAAAUGAGGUGUGUGGUUCAGCCCUUUGUGGUUCGUCCCACACUUCAUGUGCUCCAUAAAUUCGUGGUCGGGACAGACCAUUGCUAAUUGUUGGUCUCGGUCUCAACUAGGAAUGCCUUGUACGGGUCUUUGGUUCAUCAAACCACCCGGAAUACGUCCCUGCCCUUUGUACACACCGCCCGUCGCUCUUACCGAUGGACUUCUCUGUGAGUUUGAGGGACUGGCCCUUGUCUCUCGGGACAAAGGCUAUGGAAACUUAAACGAACAGUGUGGUCUAAAGGAAAGAGAAGUCG